Nomascus leucogenys (northern white-cheeked gibbon) is the source of this 1124-nucleotide long non-coding RNA. RefSeq lists it as uncharacterized. The record is from RefSeq and is a predicted model, not a curated record. NCBI's taxonomy places the organism in Eukaryota, Metazoa, Chordata, Mammalia, Primates, Hylobatidae. The transcript is spliced from 4 exons.
GCCUCGCUCAGGCUGCCGAUCGGCUCGCUCUCUGUGCGUUGGAACCGCGGAGGGCAUUCGCUAUGUGACUCAGGGCAAGUGUGCGCAACUCUCUGAGCCUCCGCGGCAUUCUCUAGCAAAAUGGUGGAGCCGGUACCCGGCUGUAAGGCAAGCUGGGAUGCGCGGAGUAGCGGGUGGAAAGCUGGACUGGAGUUCUCACUCGGCCGCUGGGUGACUUCGGUGCACUAGGGAUAGUAACAGUACCACCUCGUAGGGUUGUAGAAAGACCAAGUGAGUUAAUAUUUGUAAAGUGUUUAGAACAGCGUCUACUGCAUGGAAAGUAGUAUUUAUUUGUUAGAGAGACUCCAGGAGGUCUUGCCCAGUGAUUGACUUCUCCCUUCCCCGUCUCCACCCCCCACAUUCCCUUUUGUGAGCCAAGCCUUGCUUUUGCACCGGCCGGGCUCUCUUGCCUGGAAAUGCAUGCCCAUCUCAAACCUGGGCUUUAAAAUCACCUCCUCUGGGACGCCUUCCUCUACUUCUCACAGUUCAGGGCUAUUCUGCCCCACAUGGCAGAAAAUGACCAUGAUGCAGUACCAGAGUCUGCAUGGGACCAUUUCAACAACCCUUAGAAGCUGACUCAGCUGUCUCCUGGCCCUGACUUUUCUAAGAUGAGAGGAGCUGAUAGGAACAAUUUGGAAACCCUCAAAGGUUGAGAGUAUCCCACCCACUUCACAGAUGAAGCAAACUGAGGCCCAGAGAAGGGAAAUUACUUGCCCAAGAUCACCCAGCAAGUAAGAAACAGAGCUGGAGAUGAGCUCAGGUCAGCACGGAACCACGCAAACUCCUUCUGUAGGCUUUGUAAAGGAUUGAUGAGAAAAGCAGACGGUUAAGAGCGCUACAACUUCUGUGAGUUUCUCCAUGUUGGCCAGGCUGGCCUCGAACUCCCGCCCUCAGGUGAUCCACCUGCCUCGGCCUCCUAAAGUGCUGGGAUUACAGGCAUGAGCCACUGCGCCCAACCUGAAUAAUCUAUUAGAGUCUUUAUCUCUAAGAAGGGAAAUACAUCUGAACUAAAGGGUAAAAAAUGGCAUGUUUUAAUUGGUAAGUCUAAAUGCAAAACGAUGACAACAAAAUUUUAAAGGAUUGCU